GUGACGUUACCAAACUGUUGCCUCGGCGGGGUCACGCCCCGGGUGCGUCGCAGCCCCGGAACCAGGCGCCCGCCGGAGGAACCAACCAAACUCUUUCUGUAGUCCCCUCGCGGACGUAUUUCUUUACAGCUCUGAGCAAAAAUUCAAAAUGAAUCAAAACUUUCAACAACGGAUCUCUUGGUUCUGGCAUCGAUGAAGAACGCACCGAAAUGCGAUAAGUAAUGUGAAUUGCAGAAUUCAGUGAAUCAUCUAAUCUUUGAACGCACAUUGCGCCCGCCAGUAUUCUGGCGGGCAUGCCUGUCCGAGCGUCAUUUCAACCCUCGAACCCCUCCGGGGGAUCGGCGUUGGGGAUCGGGACCCCUCACACGGGUGCCGGCCCCUAAAUACAGUGGCGGUCUCGCCGCAGCCUCUCCUGCGCAGUAGUUUGCACAACUCGCACCGGGAGCGCGGCGCGUCCACGUCCGUAAAACACCCAACUUUCUGAAAUGUUGACCUCGGAUCAGGUAGGAAUACCCGCUGAACUUAAGCAUAUCAAUAAGCGGAGGAAA
This 548-nucleotide ribosomal RNA is filed under the name Trichoderma asperellum. RNAcentral describes it as "eukaryotic LSU rRNA". The stretch from base 158 to 311 matches the Rfam family "5.8S ribosomal RNA". The record is from RNAcentral. Lineage: Eukaryota; Fungi; Ascomycota; Sordariomycetes; Hypocreales; Hypocreaceae.